UACGUAGGGGGCAAGCGUUAUCCGGAUUUACUGGGUGUAAAGGGAGCGUAGGCGGCAGUGCAAGUCAGAAGUGAAAGCCCAAGGCUCAACCCUGGGACUGCAUUUGAAACUGCCAUACUGGAGUGCCGGAGAGGUAAGUGGAAUUCCUAGUGUAGCGGUGAAAUGCGUAGAUAUUAGGAGGAACACCAGUGGCGAAGGCGGCUUACUGGACAGUAACUGACGUUGAGGCUCGAAAGCGUGGGGAGCAAACAGG
RNAcentral lists this ribosomal RNA (253 nucleotides) under uncultured Lachnospiraceae bacterium. RNAcentral describes it as "partial 16S ribosomal RNA". It matches the Rfam family "Bacterial small subunit ribosomal RNA", at positions 524 to 776 of the family's 1533-position model. Lineage: Bacteria; Bacillati; Bacillota; Clostridia; Lachnospirales; Lachnospiraceae. The record is from RNAcentral.